RNAcentral lists this unclassified non-coding RNA (2147 nucleotides) under Hevea brasiliensis (rubber tree). The record is from RNAcentral. Lineage: Eukaryota; Viridiplantae; Streptophyta; Magnoliopsida; Malpighiales; Euphorbiaceae.
CAGCAUACUAUUCCUGGAUUUGUCAUGAAUCAAGCAAAAGGGUCUCUCACCACAUCGCUUCUCUUCCUGUUUUUCCACUUCUGCAUAUCUAUUGACACUAUAACGCCAACCCAGUUCAUCAAAGAUGGUGAUAUUUUAGUCUCUAAAGGAGAACGUUUCGCACUUGGGUUCUUCAGCCCAGGCACUUCUACUCGUCGCUACGUCGGAAUUUGGUACAACAAAGUUUCAGAACAAACCGUUGUCUGGGUGGGAAAUAGAGAUAAUCCUAUCAAUGAUGCCUCUGGGGUACUCACUAUCAACAGUCAAGGUAACCUUGUCUUGUACGAGAAAAACCAAACUAUUCCUCUCUGGUCCACCAAUUUCUCUACAUCAACGAGUAAUUCCAUGGCUCAGCUCCAGGAUUCGGGAAAUCUUGUUUUGCUUCAGCGGGAUACUGAAAGGUUCUUAUGGCAAAGCUUUGAUUAUCCUACAGAUACCUUACUUCCUAACAUGAAGCUUGGAUUGAACAGAAGAACUGGCAAGAAUUGGGUUCUUACUUCUUGGAAAUCAAAAGAUGACCCUGGAACAGGUGACAUUGUCUACAGAAUCGAUCCAAGUGGGGUGCCUCAGUUGUUUCUAUAUAAGGGUUCUGUUCGGUGGUGGCGAGGCGGACCAUGGACAGGAGAAAGAUGGAGCGGAGUACCCGAGAUGACACGUAAUUACAUCUUUAAUGUCAGUUUUGUGAACAAUAAGGAUGAGGUAUCCAUCGCGUAUGGUUUGACUAAUCCCUCAAUCGUCUCAAGAAUGAUGGUCAAUGAGUCAGGAAACGUGCAACGGGCCACGUGGAAUCAAAGAGACCAUAGGUGGAUCGGGUUUUGGUCCGCCCCGAAAGAACAAUGUGAUAACUAUGGCGAAUGUGGUGCAAAUAGUAAUUGCGAUCCAUAUGAUUCUGAUAGUUUCAUAUGCAAAUGUUUGCCAGGAUUCGAACCAAAGUCACCAAGGGAUUGGUACCUGAGAGAUGGCUCAGGUGGUUGUAUCAGGAAAGCCGGCGUGUCAACGUGUCAAAGUGGGGAAGGGUUCGUGAAGAUGGAACGCGUGAGAGUUCCAGACACUACAAAGGCACAAGCGGACAUGAACUUGAGCUUGAAGGUAUGUGAGCAAGAGUGCUUGAAGAAUUGUUCCUGCACGGCUUACACAAGUGCAGAUGAGAGAGGGUUUGGGUGUAUGAGAUGGUAUGGAGAUUUGGUUGAUACAAGAACCUAUUCCAGUGUGGGACAGGACAUAUAUGUACGUGUGGACGCAGCUGAGUUAGGUAUUUCUCUGUUUUGCUACCAACUUCUUUAUUAUAUAUAUUCAUUUUUCUUUGUUCUGAUUGAUCAAAUAGGAUUAGGAUCGAGUCUCUAUUAGGUUCCUUUUGGAUUACUCUAUACUUCAUUUUCUAGGAAAAUGAAUGAUAUAUAUAUAUAUAUGGAGUAAUGUAUUUGAUUACACAGUGAAAAGCAAUAUUCUCUUUUUCUUAUAAACUUUAAAAAUGGAUAAAUUUAAAAAAAUUCAAAAUCAAAUUAUUCUUAUUUGUUAUACUUUUGAAGGUGGAGAAAUACCCAUUAGCAAGCCUUAAUAGUCAAUAGUACAAAUCACCAUUAUAGCUUGAUCAAGACAAAGCGAAUUGACAUUUUAACUAGUCAUUUGUUAAGAUGGGACAUCUCUUUGCUUGAUUUUCUAGACGAGGUUGAGUUAAUAGAUUCCACGUAUUUAUAUCAUGUAGUGACCAUAAAUUAAGUUCAUAAAUUAAGUUUUGACAAAAAUUUGUUCCGUGACUAAAACCCUAAUUAAAAUUUUUCUUUUUCUUUUUUAUAACAUUGUUCACUUUGCUAUUUUUCUACUUAAUUUCAGCUAAAUAUGGUAAGUCGAAAGGUCCUCUCGCCAAGAAGGGAGUGCAAGCAAUAAUGAUAGUUUCUAUUAUUGCUGUAACAUUAUUUCUUCUAGCCUUCUCAGCAUAUUGUUUCGUUCGGAGGAAGAGAAAAGGUAAUCAAAUUUCUUGGUGGUUUGUCUAAUUUGUAUGUUGUAAUAGAUCAUUUACAAGGUAAAUCUUUGUUUUUUUUUCCAAACUAAACAAUUAGUUUGUUAAUUAUAAAUGCUCAGCUAGAGACAGACGCAGCAAAUCUUUG